This 342-nucleotide ribosomal RNA is filed under the name Triticum aestivum (bread wheat). RNAcentral's name for it is "partial small subunit ribosomal RNA". Lineage: Eukaryota; Viridiplantae; Streptophyta; Magnoliopsida; Poales; Poaceae. The record is from RNAcentral.
AUGGAGCAUCGUCGGGCCGUUAGAAGAUCGGUGGUGCUGCAACAGAGCAUCUUCGGCCAUCGGAGCAUUGCCGGUGCUGCGGUGGAGCAUCGCCGAGCUGCCGGAGGAUCGUGGGAGCAUCAACGAUGCUGUGAUGGAGCAUCGCUGAGCCGCCGGAGGAUUGUCGGAGCAUCGCCGAGCCGUCGGAGGAUUGUCGGAGCAUUGUUGGUGCUGCGAUGGAGCAUCGCCGAGCUGCCGGAGGAUCGUCGGAGCAUUGCCGAGACGCCGGAGGAUCGUUGGUGCGACAGUGGAGCAUCGCCUGGCAAUCGGAACAUCGCAGAAGCAUCGCUGGCGCUGCAAUGA